Molecule: ribosomal RNA, 468 nt
Filed under: uncultured bacterium
Lineage: Bacteria
Description: partial 16S ribosomal RNA
Rfam family: Bacterial small subunit ribosomal RNA
Source: RNAcentral
GACGAACGCUGGCGGCGUGCUUAACACAUGCAAGUCGAACGGAAAGGCCCGGCUCUUGCGGCGUGCUCGAGUGGCGAACGGGUGAGUAACACGCGUGUAACCCGUCCCUGUCAUUGGGAGAACACUAGGAAACAGGGGCGAAUAUCGCAGAUGAUCUCCUGCUGCACGGGGGGCGUUGGAAAGAUACGGCGGUGGGGGCUGGACUCGAGGCUUACCAGCUUCUUGGUCGAGUAGUGGCUUACCAGGCCUUUGACGGGUAGCCGACCUGGGAGGGUGACCGGCGACAUUGCGACUGAGAUACGGACCAGUCUCCUACGGGAGGCAGCAGUCGGAAAUAUUGCACAAUGGGCGGACGCGUGAUGCGGAAACGCCGCGUGCGGGAUGACGGCCUUCGAGUUGUAAACAGCUUUCGACUGUGACGAGGCGUGCGUGACGGUAAUGAGUAAAGAAGCAACGGCUAACUACGUG